Molecule: ribosomal RNA, 497 nt
Filed under: uncultured bacterium
Lineage: Bacteria
Description: partial 16S ribosomal RNA
Rfam family: Bacterial small subunit ribosomal RNA
Source: RNAcentral
GAUGAACGCUGGCGGCGUGCCUAAUACAUGCAAGUCGAGCGAACAGAUGAGGAGCUUGCUCCUCUGACGUUAGCAGCGGACGGGUGAGUAACACGUGGAUAACCCACCUAUAAGACUGGGAUAACUUCGGGAAACCGGAGCUAAUACCGGAUAAUAUAUUGAACCGCAUGGUUCAAUAGUGAAAGACGGUUUUGCUGUCACUUAUAGAUGGAUCCGCGCCGCAUUAGCUAGUUGGUAAGGUAACGGCUUACCAAGGCAACGAUGCGUAGCCGACCUGAGAGGGUGAUCGGCCACACUGGAACUGAGACACGGUCCAGACUCCUACGGGAGGCAGCAGUAGGGAAUCUUCCGCAAUGGGCGAAAGCCUGACGGAGCAACGCCGCGUGAGUGAUGAAGGUCUUCGGAUCGUAAAACUCUGUUAUUAGGGAAGAACAAAUGUGUAAGUAACUAUGCACGUCUUGACGGUACCUAAUCAGAAAGCCACGGCUAACUACGUG